This 72-nucleotide transfer RNA is filed under the name Sphaerodactylus townsendi. RNAcentral's name for it is "tRNA-Ala". It matches the Rfam family "tRNA". From Rfam's summary of the family: Transfer RNA (tRNA) molecules are approximately 80 nucleotides in length. Their secondary structure includes four short double-helical elements and three loops (D, anti-codon, and T loops). Lineage: Eukaryota; Metazoa; Chordata; Lepidosauria; Squamata; Sphaerodactylidae. The record is from RNAcentral.
GGGGAAGUGGCUCAGUGGUAGAGCCUCUGCUGGGCAUGCAGAGGGGUUCCGGUUCAAUCCCUAGCAUCUCCA